GGAGUUUGGACCGUGUCUCAGUUCCAAUGUGGGGGACCUUCCUCUCAGAACCCCUACUGAUCGUCGCCUUGGUGGGCCGUUACCCCGCCAACAAGCUAAUCAGACGCAUCCCCAUCCAUUACCGUUGAAAACUUUGGUCUCGCUUAGAUGUCUGCACGAGACCGCAUCAGGGAUUAAUCCAGUUUUCACUGGGCUAUACCUGAGUAAUGGGAAGGUUGGAUACGCGUUACUCACCCAUGCGCCGGUCGCCAUCAAUCAAAGCAAGCUUCGAUUAUGCUGCCCCUCGACUUGCAUGUGUUAAGCCUGUAGCUAGCGUUCAUC
This 321-nucleotide ribosomal RNA is filed under the name uncultured Prevotella sp. RNAcentral describes it as "partial 16S ribosomal RNA". The record is from RNAcentral. Lineage: Bacteria; Pseudomonadati; Bacteroidota; Bacteroidia; Bacteroidales; Prevotellaceae.